RNAcentral lists this long non-coding RNA (573 nucleotides) under Gallus gallus (chicken). RNAcentral describes it as "lncRNA (ENSGALG00010019241.1)". The record is from RNAcentral. Lineage: Eukaryota; Metazoa; Chordata; Aves; Galliformes; Phasianidae.
GGAGUUUUCAGUUCCUUUGGUUGAAAAGGCUGGUUUGAGGAAACUGAAACUUCUUUUUUUUUUUUUUUUUUUGCAGGCGGGUAUCGAUUUCAAAGACACUUUCAUCAGAAGAGAUUUGUCAGCCGUCGGAUGGAAUUUCUGGUCGCGACCAGGAGGAGAUGGCAAGGUUGGAGUAUCAGGUAGCGCCACCGGCGGGGAACUCACCAGGAAUGUGGAAAAUCAAGGUUCAGGCCUAGGGACUUGAACGUGAGAUGUGCAGAGAUCCCGGUCAGGCGUUGAAAAUAAGGAAAAGAGAGGAAGAAAACCACAAAGAAAGAGGCAUACAAAAAGUUUAAAAAAGCUAUAUAUAUAUUUAUAUAUAUACGGAGAUGGAGGUGAACCCAAACACUCAGAGGUAAUUUGCCUUGAGGAGCAAGAGCCCUUGAGACCUAUGUGUGGACUUUGGAAAAAAGAAUCUGUGAACAAUAGUAAAGGAUAUGGACGUGCCAUCCUCUGACAGUGUAUGAAAGCAUCAGGGAGACUACAUACUUCUCUGUGAGAGUGCAGGGAAGAGGAUGCUUGCUUUGUUCGCUC